This 391-nucleotide ribosomal RNA is filed under the name uncultured bacterium. RNAcentral's name for it is "bacterial SSU rRNA". It matches the Rfam family "Bacterial small subunit ribosomal RNA", at positions 29 to 420 of the family's 1533-position model. The record is from RNAcentral.
AUUGAACGCUGGCGGCAUGCUUUACACAUGCAAGUCGAACGGCAGCACGGGGGCAACCCUGGUGGCGAGUGGCGAACGGGUGAGUAACACAUCGGAACGUGUCCUGUUGUGGGGGAUAACCCACCGAAAGGUGAGCUAAUACCGCAUGACCUCGGGAGAGAAAAGCAGGGGACCCGCAAGGGCCUUGCGCGAUUGGAGCGGCCGAUGUCCGAUUAGCUAGUUGGUAGGGUAAAGGCCACCAAGGCGACGAUCGGUAGCUGGUCUGAGAGGAUGAUCAGCCACACUGGGACUGAGACACGGCCCAGACUCCUACGGGAGGCAGCAGUGGGGAAUUUUGGACAAUGGGGGCAACCCUGAUCCAGCCAUGCCGCGUGAGUGAAGAAGGCCUCGG